ACACCACGGUGCUGUUGAAAUGCUCAUGAAAUAGUAUUUAGCCUGGAUGAGAAUAUAUGGAUAUAUGCCUAAUACUUUGAAAUGCUAAAAGAAAAAAAAAAGCUAGAUUUAUAUAUAUCUAUGUAUUUCAAUUUUUUCUUGUAAAUUGUUACUUCUGUGAAGACCUUAGAAGAAGUGUGUGAUACAUUGUUUUUUAAGGCAGUAAUUGUGAAACGUUUAUUUCAAAGUCAUUUGAAAGAUCACUGAAUGGGAGUAAGUACUUGUCUCUUUCUAAUUUUCUUUCUUGUACAGCCCUUCUAAGAAAGGACUUCACUGAGCAGGGUUUUUAAUUGAAGGCUUUUAGGCCUUUAACCUAAUUCCAUUUUACUUCUUGAGGGUAUCUCUUAAAGGAGUCUACUAUUUGAAAACCUUAUGAAGUCCUUUAUUCUAAAUUCUAUGAGAGACCAUUUUUUCCUUUGCUUUUGUUUUUCUUAUAGAUUGUUAUGAAAUGAAGCUAUGAAUGUAAAACCAGAAGAUUUGCAGGGACAAUAUAUUUUAAUGCAUAAAACCUCAAGCAUGAAACCAAAUCCACAGAGCUUUUUCAGGGUGAAAAAAUAAUCCACAUCUGGAGCUUACUAGAAAGGGGCAUUGAAAUUUAUUUGGCAACUUGUAAAUAUAAUUUGUUCAGUACUGGAAAUGUGUGUGCCUUCCUUCUUCAGAAUCCUCAGUACAAGGGCACAACAUCUCAGACUUUGUGGAAAUAUAUUGUAUUUCUUGUAUUGAUGUGAAUAUGAAUUUUUUGUAGUUGUAGUUGUAGUUACUACACGUUACUACAUGUUACUACAGUUGUUGUAGUUACUAAACACAUAAAGUAUUAUAAAAUUGUCCUGUACAGGAAAAAACAAGAAGCUUUAAUUUGUCCAAAUUAAGACCAAGUGGUGAGAACACUAGUUAAGAUGCAUUUUCCCAGAAGAAUAGACUGUUUUAGGGACGCUUGUUAAAUGCUUUCUCCGGACACAGCAAUGCCAAUCAGA
This 1013-nucleotide long non-coding RNA is filed under the name Anas platyrhynchos platyrhynchos (common mallard). RNAcentral's name for it is "lncRNA (ENSAPLG00000018452.1)". The record is from RNAcentral. Lineage: Eukaryota; Metazoa; Chordata; Aves; Anseriformes; Anatidae.